Molecule: long non-coding RNA, 4994 nt
Organism: Callithrix jacchus (white-tufted-ear marmoset)
Lineage: Eukaryota; Metazoa; Chordata; Mammalia; Primates; Cebidae
Source: Ensembl
GACUCACUGCCAAAGAUGUUCACUUUCUGGGAGACGCAGACCACGUCCAGGAAGGGGCACAAGGCCAGUCUGCAGGAGUCCCCUUCUGAGACCGUCCAGCACCUGUAGCAGCGCAGAUCCUGAGCUGGGAGAGAGGGCAAGCACAUGCCAGGACACACACCCACACCCUGGUGAGCACCUCAUGCCCACAGGGGCACCCUAGUCUCACCACCACCUUGUCCCACACCUGCCACCUGGACAUGCCCUUUGCAACAGCCCCACACACCUGCAUGCCACCCAUGCCUGCCACCCUCCAGCACAACCUCCUGGUCCAAGAGGCACCAGCGGCCGCUGCCCAGAGCCAAAGUGCCCAGGAUCCAGCGUGGCUUCGGAUAUGAAUGCAGCCGGCACGUGUGGUAACAAGCACAGAGCAGGCACCAAACACACAUCAGCCACCUCUGCCACCGGAACACCGAGGCCCACCACCCCAGCAGGCACGCCGUCCGGGCACACCCACCGAAAUGAGCCCCAGCUCUCGGGGAAGCAGAAGCGCUCUGGAAGGAACUCCGCAGAAGACCCCUCUGCCUCUCACCUCUCUCUGCACUCAGCAUGGCCACCAGCAGGACCAGGGACAAGGUCUUCAUGGCGUGGAGACUGCUCAUUCUAAGAGACAGGGUUUCACCAUGUUGGCCAGGCUGGUAUCAAACUCCUGAGCUCAGGUGAUCCACCCGCUUCGGCCUCCCAAAGUGCUGGGAUUACAGGCGUGAGCCCCAUGCCCGGCCCAGGAGCUUGACUUCUGCUAAUGCGCCAGGAUGGGCAGUCAAGGAAGCGGCCACGUCCUCGGGAUGCAGCAGCUGUGGCCGCCAUACAGUCAACACAAGUGUUGCAUCGGACUGAGCACAGAAAGUCAACACCAGGACAAAAGUAUGCCAAAUUGCAGGGUUUACUGCCGGCAACCACGGAGGACUCACAUCUCUCCAACCCGUGACCCCGAAAGAAGAGAGACAAGACCUUUUUAUACCCGCAAAAACCACCUUGGGAGUGGGGGUGGAGAUGGGAAUGAAAGCUGUCAAUCACCUCCCAGGCUAAGACGAGGGUGAGGGGCUUCAGACAUUCCGAGGGCCAGUGGAUUCAAAUCACCUUCUGGGCAGAGAGGAGGGUGAGGGGGUUCCGGACAUUUCGAGGGCCAGGGGACUAUUUGACAUUCUGAUUGUCAUUUAAGGGGUUCACAGAUGCUGAGAUUAGCAUUCGUUUACACGUCGUCUGGGUAGGGGUGGGAUCCAUAGACUUUCAGUUGCUUGGCGCCAGGAUGGAGUUAUCUGGGGUGCUUACUCUGGGAAACAAAGGCCAUCAAUUCUGGCAGAUAAGAGAAGGUAGGCAGCUUUACCUCUCUUUGCAUCCUGCAAAUAAUCUAGCAGGUUACAGAAACCAAGGUUAGCAGUCCUUGAGGAGAGUGGAAACAUUUUUGUCUUUUAUAAGAUGGCAGUGUACAGGUUCCAACUCUAAGUUAGCUAUAUCACACAAGAAGCCUUUCCGUUUGCACCACGGUCCGGCUCAUCCAGGCAAUGCUAUCUCCAGGAGGGACAGUCCCCGCCCCCAGCUAGACAGCAGGCACACUGGAUUUUACCUGUCCUCAGACUGACCCUUCGCCCGUUUUAACAGUAGAAAGCACACCCCAGGGAGGAGGUUUCAGAGACUAAUGAGACAUGCGACGUAGGAACAAGCCUGUGCACCCAGAGGACCCCCUGGAACGAGCUUCCGAGCAACGCCUCUCCCACCUCGAGAGAGGAAUCAGGGAAGACUCCCAUCAGGAGCCUCCCGGUGCCAAUCUCCCCUGUCCCGCCUGUAGAGGCAGCCGGCCCUGGACCCUCCCUCUCCGGGCGUCCUGUCUCUUCCGCACUGAACUUUAAAAACAUUCUUUCUCCUUUGCAAUGCACCCCUCUGCGCUGCAUCUCUGCGUCUCCUGUUUAAAUUCUCUCAAGCUAAGAAGCGUGGAGGCCUAGCAGCAGCCCUCAGUGUUUCCGACGUCCUGCCUGAUGGAGGUUUGUCUGGGCAUCCACUCCCGUUGCCCUUCCCUGUGGUGGGUACCAUGGCACUGCCAGGCUGCCUGGUUGGCUGCCACUGCGUCUCCCAGGCUGUUUCAGUAAAGGUUUUUAAGUGGCCUGUGCCCUUUCUGUGGAUACGUGCGGCCUCCUCUGCGCCUCCAACAUUAUCCCACCCACGUGGGUUGUUCUCAGCACGGGGCAUUCGCUGUUUUGCGCUGAGUUUCACACCUUUCUGGGCUCCUGUCCCACCUGUUCCUCUGGCAGCACUUGGCCGCCACCUUGUGGCCACUGUGAUUUACAGUCUGAUCGUGUUUUUUGUUUACAAUUUUUUCUUUUCUUUUCUUUUUUUCUGAGACAGAGUUUCUAUUGCCCAGGCUAGAGGCAAUGACACCAUCUUGGCUCACCGCAACCUCCGCCUCCUGGGUUCAAGCAAUUCUCCUGCCUCAGCCUUCUGAGUAGCUGGGACUACAGGCACCCACCACCACAUCUGGCUAAUGUUUUGUAUUUUUAGUAGGGAUGGGGUUUCACCGUGUUGGCCAGGCUGGUCUCGAACUCCUGACCUUGAGUGAUCUGCCCACCUCGGCCUCCCAAAGUGCUGGGAUUACAGCCAUGAGCCACCAGGCCCGCCCAACAUGUUCUGUUUUGAGGGACACACUAAGAGUGCCCCAUCCCUCCAGACUUUAUGCAUUUUCCAACUCCUUGUCCUUCCACUGGCUUUCUUUGCUGAAUAAAAAAUGCUCAGUCAUGUAGAUUCCAGGUCGUGAGGAUCACAUCCGGCCAUUCCAGGCAUUAUGAUCAGACAUCACAAAUGGUCAACCAGAGAGGCAGGGAAAGGCUUGGUGGAGACACAUCAGGACCCCCAGCCAGCAAGGGGGCCACCUUGGUGGGCCUGGAGACUUUCCAGCACUGCUGAGACCCAGUCAGUGCCCGGCAAAUGCCCGUGACCUCCUAGGGUCCUGGUUUCAUGGGGACUCAAGGGGAUGUCCCAGACCCUGUCAUGGUCCAGCUUGAGGAGGCUGAGGCGGGAGGAUCACCUGAGCCUGGGAGAUCGAGGCUGCAGUGAGCCAUGAUAGUGCCGCUACACUCCAGCCUGGGCAACAGAGUAAGACCCUGUCUUGACAAAAAAACAGAGGAGGGGCCGGGCACGGUGGCUCAAGCCUGUAAUCCCAGCACUUUGGGAGGCCGAGGCGGGUGGAUCACGAGGUCAAGAGAUCAAGACCAUCCUGGUCAACAUGGUGAAACCCCGUCUCUACUAAAAAUACAAAAAAUUAGCUGGGCAUGAUGGCGCGUGCCUGUAAUCCCAGCUACUCAGGAGGCUGGGGCAGGAGAAUUGCCUGAACCCAGGAGGCAGAGAUUGCGGUGAUCCGAGAUUGCCAUUGCACUCCAGCCUGGGUAACAACAGCGAAACUCCAUCUCAAAAAAAAAAAAAAAAAAAAAAAAACAGAGAGGAAAGACAAUUGUCUUUCCUUUGGUCCCCUCUGGCUCUAGGAUGUCUCAACCCAGGCUGCCCAAGACCAGUCUUGCCUUCAUUCCUCUUCUUGGAAUAUUUGUGCACUGCACAGCUGGAGAACUGUUAGGGGUGUGUGUCCACGGUGCGUGGGGUCUCAGCAUCUGUAGGGGAUGUGCCCAGGGUGUGAGUGGUGUCAGCAUCUGUUGGGGGGGUGUGUCCUUUGUACCACUAAGUACAGAGCGUGUGAAGUUGUGAAAUAUACAUCAGGUCCUUUUAAUUGUUCUUUUAAGAUGGAAUUUCGCUUUUGUUGCCCAGGCUGGAGUACAGUGGCACUAUCUCAGCUCACUGCAACCUCCGCCUCCCAGAUUCAAGUGAUUCUCCUGCCUCAGCCUCCCCAGUAGCUGGGAUUACAGGUGUGCACCACCAUGCCUGGCUAAUUUUUGUAUUUUUAGUAGAGACACAGUUUCCCCAUGUUGGCCAGGCCCGUCUCGAAUUCCUGACCUCAGGUGAUCUGUCUGACUUGGCCUCCCAAAGUGCUGGGAUUACAGGUGUGAGCCACUGCACCCAGCCCCUUUGUAAUAUCCUUUAUAAUAAAGCAGUAGAUGUGUUUCCCUGAAUUCUGUCACCCAUGAGAAAAGGAAAGAACUUUUAUCUAUGGAAUGUGAUUCCUUUUAAAUUAUCAGGCCCAGGCCAGGCACGAUGGCUCACACCUGUAGUCCCAGCACUUUGAGAGGCCAAGGUAGGUGGAUUGCUUUAGGCCAGGAGUUCAAGACCAGCCUGGGCAACACAGUGAGACCCCAUCUCUACAAAUAAAUAAAUUAGCCAGUAGUGGUGGUACAUGCCUGUAGUCCCAGCUAUUUGGGAAGCUGAGGUUGGAGAAUCACCAGAGCUCGGGAGGCGGAGGCUGCAGUGAGCCGUGAUCGCACCACUGCACUCCAGCCUGGGUGACAGAGUAAGACCCUACCUGAGAAAAGCAGAACAUAAAUUAUCAGGCCCAGAGAGAUUAAAAUUAAACAGCAAUCCCACCCUUCUUCCCCCGGAGCUGAGCUUUCAUCCCUUGGAACUCUUGCUACUGCUGCGAGGCGCUGUGAAUUAACCCCACCGUUCCACACUGACAUUGGAACCCACACCCAAGAUCUUAACGACGUAGAGCCAAUCACGGAUCAAUGCGAUUUCUGUGAACCAAUUAGAAUUAGAAUUAGAAUUAGUAUCAGCCAACACCCUUCCCACCUUUUUGCCUUCAAAAAAUUCACUUGUAACUGUUGCAGCCCUCAUGAUGGCCCAAGUGAAGUUUCUUCUUGUAUUAAAGUUUCUUCUUGUAUUAAAGUUUCUUCUUGUAUUAAAGUUUCUUCUUGUAUUAAAAUCAUUAAUUUUGCUCCUUACCCUGACAGCUCCUCCAGCAAACUGAACCCUAGAGGGAGCUGUGGGAACCCCGACUCGAAGCCGGUUGGUCAGAGCUCUGGAGGCUGUGGUUUGCAGCUGGAGUCUGCAGCGGGGGCAGCUGGGGACUGCCCUCAGCC